RNAcentral lists this ribosomal RNA (530 nucleotides) under uncultured bacterium. RNAcentral's name for it is "bacterial SSU rRNA". It matches the Rfam family "Bacterial small subunit ribosomal RNA", at positions 18 to 518 of the family's 1533-position model. The record is from RNAcentral.
CCUGGCUUAGGACGAACGCUGGCGGCGUGCCUAAUACAUGCAAGUCGAACGGUCUUUCUAUGGAAGCUUGCUUCCACUGAGAAGAUAGUGGCGAACGGGUGAGUAACACGUGGGUAACCUGCCCAUAAGAGGGGGAUAACAUCCGGAAACGGGUGCUAAUACCGCAUAGUUUUCUUGAUCGCAUGAUUGAGAAAGGAAAGACGGCCUUUGUGCUGUCGCUUAUGGAUGGACCCGCGGCGUAUUAGUUAGUUGGUGAGGUAACGGCUCACCAAGACGAUGAUACGUAGCCGACCUGAGAGGGUGAUCGGCCACAUUGGGACUGAGACACGGCCCAAACUCCUACGGGAGGCAGCAGUAGGGAAUCUUCCGCAAUGGACGAAAGUCUGACGGAGCAACGCCGCGUGAGUGAAGGAGGGUUUUUUCCGGAUCGUAAAACUCUGUUGUCAGAGAAGAACAAGUUGGAGAGUAACUGCUCCAGCCUUGACGGUAUCUGACCAGAAAGCCACGGCUAACUACGUGCCAGCCGCAGC